This 77-nucleotide transfer RNA is filed under the name Candidatus Magasanikbacteria bacterium RIFCSPHIGHO2_02_FULL_44_13. RNAcentral describes it as "tRNA-Ala". It matches the Rfam family "tRNA". Rfam says of the family: Transfer RNA (tRNA) molecules are approximately 80 nucleotides in length. Their secondary structure includes four short double-helical elements and three loops (D, anti-codon, and T loops). Further hydrogen bonds mediate the characteristic L-shaped molecular structure. tRNAs have two regions of fundamental functional importance: the anti-codon, which is responsible for specific mRNA codon recognition, and the 3' end, to which the tRNAs corresponding amino acid is attached (by aminoacyl-tRNA synthetases). tRNAs cope with the degeneracy of the genetic code in two manners: having more than one tRNA (with a specific anti-codon) for a particular amino acid; and 'wobble' base-pairing, i.e. permitting non-standard base-pairing at the 3rd anti-codon position. RNAcentral also lists the same sequence under 3 other names. Lineage: Bacteria; Candidatus Magasanikiibacteriota. The record is from RNAcentral.
GGGCCGUUAGCUCAGCUGGCUAGAGCGUCUCGAUGGCAUCGAGAAGGUCGCUGGUUCAAGUCCAGUACGGUCCACAA